This 2951-nucleotide long non-coding RNA is filed under the name Olea europaea (common olive). RNAcentral's name for it is "long non-coding RNA (OEUR_LNC000023)". The record is from RNAcentral. Lineage: Eukaryota; Viridiplantae; Streptophyta; Magnoliopsida; Lamiales; Oleaceae.
CUGAUAUUUCUCCACCAACCCAAUUUCCAAAUCUUUUGCCUUACGCUUCAUUACCUCUUUGUAGUCCAUGUUUCUCACGUGUUGCCAUAUAAGUGAACGUAUGCCUUCUUUAAACUUCCCACGCACAAUAUAAUUAUGCAGCAAAAGGUAGUAGAAGGGCAGGUUCUUAACUACUUUAACUGCCUGCUUGAAGCUGAAUGAAUAGAGCCCACAAAUGAGCUGUACCAUCUUAAUGUAGAGAGCAACAAUUAAUGGUCCAAGAACCCAUAAAGGGGUUAAUUCUCUGGAAACUACAGAUCCAUAUACUAAAUUAACUGCCAGGUAUAAAGGGAAGCUGCAAAUACAACAAAAAGCGAGACAAUUAGUCAACAGCAAUAUUCAUUCUGUUAUGGAUCUGCACCUGUCUGAAUAUCUUAUUUAAGCUAAACAAAUACUAAAUGAUGAAGAAUAUAUGUUGUACUCGUGCUUUGACAGUUCAGAAGCAAUAAUGAGAAAAUUUGGAAGAAACUACCAAAGAUUGCAUUAUAACUGUACUCAUGCAUAUAACAAUUUAAAUUACGCAACAUCUUAUAUCAGCUAGAGUUUUAAAGCUACAUUCUUUGGAUUCAUUAAACUAUUUCCCUUGUUAAAUUACCAGCAAUACAUGUUAGAACACAGAAAUUUAAUCAACUCAGUCUAGAGUAAAAUAGCUCCAAAUAUCCAUUGAAACACACACACACACACACACACACACACACACACACAAAAUAAAUACAUAAUUUCUACACAUUGGCAUACAGUACAAAUCAGUGCUCAAUCGAAACUGAUAUUUUUACCUUUUCUCAUACAAAAUUCUGUAUCUCCUUAGUUUUGGAAACAGAGAAAUUGAUCACAAGCAAGCAGGCAUGUAAAAUAUACAGGCUUACACACACAGAAAGAGAUUGGAGACGGAGAAAGGAUGUACCAUCAGACUUACAAUAUCAAUAAAGGUAUCUUUAUUGUUGCGUCCAGACCUAAAAAUCUUCUUUCCACGAGAAAAGAAACAGCAAUAAACUUAAGCUAUAUCCAUGCUUGACGCUAUUAAGAAGAACCCAUAUGAUUUUGGGAAAAUUCUGAACCCAUUUGAGGAAUUGACAGCAAAUGGGGUGCGUGGUGGAGAAAUUCGGAGAUUCUGAGGUAUGGAAAGCGGCUUCUUUGGUUGUUCUAGUUUUGAAGCAGCUAUUUUUUAGACUUUCCAGCCCGACUUUACAGAUGUUCUUUGUCCAUUUUUUUCACAUGGUAGAAGAAACUAGGAUCUUUUUAGUUUUUUUCUUGUCUUUUCAUUAUUUUUUGUUACGGUAGAAGUCGACGAAGUUGAUAGAAUUGGAUCUUAUUCUCGUCAAGAAUUUUUUUCAAAAAUAGUAAUAUUGUAAUAAAUAAGAUGAAAAACAUUAAAGGUGCGUUUGAUAGAACAUAAUUCCAUGAAAAAUAUCACAUCCGAUAAAUUCGUUUUCUACUUUUGACUGUUUGAUACGAAAGUGAAGUUGGAAUUCGAAUUCCAAGGUACAAAUACUUAAAGAAUGUUUUUGACCAAUUUCAUGGAAAUCGAAUUCUUAUGAUUUUGAUAAAUUUUUUUUUUUAAACUUGCAUGAGAUUGAAUUUCUUUUUACACCUUUACAAUCAAAUAGACCUUAACUUCUUAAAUUCUCUUUUAUUUAAAUUAUGUUGCUCAUAGUUGAGAGUUGGAAACUCCCAAUCUCCCGAGCAAGGCUCAAGAGGAGCUUUGCAGACCGUCGAGGGAAUAAUGGCAGUAGUAGGAGGAGAAGAAUAUUUAAAGGAUAUCAGGUAAGAGAAGCUCAAAUAAAAUUAACCUUUCGAUUUCAAUUUCAAUCUCUAGCUUUAUCCUUCUUAAACAAAAGCUUGUUGGACAAGACUUUUAAAAAGUCAACCUGCUUUUAUUUCUUUGUUCUAAAAGUACUUUGUUAAGCUAAAAGCUCUUUUACAAAAAAUACAAGUAGAAUCAACCAAGAAAAGUUCCGUGUGUGUAUCAUCAGUGAUAAUUUCAUAUUAAGAUAAUCAGAAAUUUAGGCAUCACUAUGAACCCACAGAAACUUCAAUAAGGUGUGAGAUGGGAAAAAAUAAAUAAAUAAAUAAUAAUAAUCAUCUUUCGAUUUCCCUCUCCAAUUUGAUCCUAAUUAAAAAAAAAGCUCAUUUGACAAGAUUUUUAAAAAGUCAAGCCAUGUUUGAACUUGCGAAAGUACUUUCAUCAAGUUAGAACAAUUUUUGAAAGAAGCUGAUCAAAUGUAAUUGCUUUUGAGAGCUCUUCUAAGAAAAAGGGAAGCAAAACCAACCAAAAAAAAGUUAUGUUGCGAGCACGCUUGUGAUCAUCGAUAAUUUCACAAUAAUAAAAUCAGAAAUUUAGGCUUCACUAUGAACCCACAGAAAAAUCAUUAAGGCUAAAUUCAAAUUUGGCAAAGCAGAGCAAAGGGAUUAAGAACCCCAGAUUCCAAAACGGGGUUCAGGAAUUGUUGCCCGUGAGAAUAUUUUUCACCCCAAAACAAGGAAAUAAAGGAAAAAAAGAAUCCCAAUUUUCAUGCCCUGCAACCAUUUCUAUCCCCAAAUCUACACUAGAUUUGCUCUCUUCAAGAACUUGAUCAUUCUGCAGUAAAAUGGCCAUAUGGAUUCCACAUAGUCCUGAUAUUUCUCCACCAACCCAAUUUCCAAAUCUUUUGCCUUACGCUUCAUUACCUCUUUGUAGUCCAUGUUUCUCACGUGUUGCCAUAUAAGUGAACGUAUGCCUUCUUUAAACUUCCCACGCACAAUAUAAUUAUGCAGCAAAAGGUAGUAGAAGGGCAGGUUCUUAACUACUUUAACUGCCUGCUUGAAGCUGAAUGAAUAGAGCCCACAAAUGAGCUGUACCAUCUUAAUGUAGAGAGCAACAAUUAAUGGUCCAAGAACCCAUAAAGGGGUUAAUUCUCUGGAAACUACAGAUC